UAGGCUUCACUUUUCCAACGCCUCUUCUGUUUAGUUUUUUACUGUGUCGCGUUUUGGGUCUUCGUUAUGCUUUUUUGGGGAAUGUUCUAAUUCUCGAUUCCAUCUUACCUGCGUCUUCGGCGCUUCGCUCUUUCUCCAUUUUCAUCCUAAUUGAUUCAGGGUGUUGUUCCUUUGGGUUUGUGACUUUCGAUUUCCUUCAACUGCUGCCGUUCAUUACUUAUUUGGGUAUGUGUUUGCGACUUAUGACUUCACUCUCUCCAAUUUGUGCUUGAUUUUGGACCAGACAAUUACAAAGAGUUCUGUUGUUUUUGCAAUUGGAGAAUGCGAGCUUGGAAAAGAACAUCGAGUGGCCUAUAACAUCACCAAAGUUGAUUCAAAUGAUGUGUAUAUAGUUUGUAUUCUUUAUACUAUACUAAACAAUCCAGUUGUAUGUUACCAUAUACUUGAUUGGAUAUGGCAUAUUUUUUUCUAUAGUUAUUUGAUCGUAAUACAAGACAUGGAAGAAUGGAUCGGUGACAAACGGUUAAGAAUAAUGUCUCAUCAACAAGUUUCAUGGACGCAUAUGACAAUGGUAUAUUCUAACAUGUUAGAAUUAUUAUGUUCUCAGUUUCUUCUAUCCAGGUGGAAAUAUGUGGUCAUGUUACUUUAGAAGCCACUCACUUCCUUUUCAAAUUUGGCUUGGUGAAAUCUAACACAGUUAAAUUUACUUUUCUGGAAUUUUUAGUGCUAAAAGAGUUAAGGACCCAUUAGGGAGUGAAAAUGUGCAAUAUAUGUAUUGAAUAUCAAUACGAGACAUCUAUUUCAGCAAAAAAAAAAAAAAAAAAAAAAAAAAAAAAAAAAAAAAAAACCAGAGUUAUGAUAGAUGUCUUUAUGUUUAUUUAAAAAUAUAAUCCACCGUGUAACUAUUUCUAACUACAGUUUUGCAUACAAAUAUCUUGAUUUAUUAAAAUAUAGAUGAUUUUGACUGUCGUACCUCUAUGUGGUUUCACUGGUAGUUUUUGUCAAAAAGUCAGUAA
This is a non-coding RNA of Lactuca sativa (garden lettuce), 1016 nucleotides long. The record is from RefSeq and is a predicted model, not a curated record. NCBI's taxonomy places the organism in Eukaryota, Viridiplantae, Streptophyta, Magnoliopsida, Asterales, Asteraceae.